AACGUAGGAGACAAACGUUAUCCGGAUUUACUGGGCGUAAAGGGCGUGUAGGUGGUUUCGUAAGUCUGGCGUGAAAUUUUUCGGCUUAACCGGGAAAGGUCGUCGGAUACUGCGGAGCUAGAGGACGGUAGAGGCGUGUGGAAUUCCGGGUGUAGUGGUGAAAUGCGUAGAGAUCCGGAGGAACACCAGUGGCGAAGGCGACACGCUGGGCCGUACCUGACACUGAUGCGCGACAGCAUGGGGAGCAAACAGG
This 253-nucleotide ribosomal RNA is filed under the name uncultured bacterium. RNAcentral's name for it is "partial 16S ribosomal RNA". It matches the Rfam family "Bacterial small subunit ribosomal RNA", at positions 524 to 776 of the family's 1533-position model. The record is from RNAcentral.